UCUUGCGCAAUGGGCGAAAGCCUGACGCAGCCAUGCCGCGUGAAUGAUGAAGGUCUUAGGAUUGUAAAAUUCUUUCACCGGGGACGAUAAUGACGGUACCCGGAGAAGAAGCCCCGGCUAACUUCGUGCCAGCAGCCGCGGUAAUACGAAGGGGGCUAGCGUUGCUCGGAAUUACUGGGCGUAAAGGGAGCGUAGGCGGACAUUUAAGUCAGGGGUGAAAUCCCGGGGCUCAACCUCGGAAUUGCCUUUGAUACUGGAUGUCUUGAGUGUGAGAGAGGUAUGUGGAACUCCGAGUGUAGAGGUGAAAUUCGUAGAUAUUCGGAAGAACACCAGUGGCGAAGGCGACAUACUGGCUCAUUACUGACGCUGAGGCUCGAAAGCGUGGGGAGCAAACAGG
Molecule: ribosomal RNA, 397 nt
Filed under: uncultured bacterium
Lineage: Bacteria
Description: bacterial SSU rRNA
Rfam family: Bacterial small subunit ribosomal RNA
Source: RNAcentral